GUGCUCGUGUCAACAGCACAUAUACUAAAAUUGGAACGAUACGGAGAAGAUUAGCAUGGCCCCUACUCAAGGAUGACUCACAAAUUUUUGAAGCGUUCCAUAUUUUU
This is a non-coding RNA of Myotis davidii, 107 nucleotides long. The record is from Rfam. NCBI's taxonomy places the organism in Eukaryota, Metazoa, Chordata, Mammalia, Chiroptera, Vespertilionidae.